This 436-nucleotide ribosomal RNA is filed under the name uncultured bacterium. Its description in RNAcentral is "partial 16S ribosomal RNA". It matches the Rfam family "Bacterial small subunit ribosomal RNA", at positions 29 to 507 of the family's 1533-position model. The record is from RNAcentral.
AGCGAACGCUGGCGGCAGGCUUAACACAUGCAAGUCGAGCGGGCAUCCUUGUGGUGUCAGCGUCUGACGGGUGAGUCACGCGUGUGAACGUGCCCUUCGUUUCGUAAUAACUCAGCGAAACUUGAUCUAAUACCGGAUACGCCCUUUUGGGUAAAGGUUUACUGCCCAAGGAUCGGACUGCGUCUGAUUAGCUAGUUUGUGUGGUUAUGGCUCCCCAACGCGACGAUCAGUAGCUGGUCUGAGAGGAUGAGCAGACACACUGGGACUGAGACACGGCACAGAAUCCUACGGGAGGCAGGAGUGGGGAAUAGUGGAAAAUGGGGGCAACCAUGAUCCAGCCAUGCCGGGUGAGUGAUGACGGCCUUAGGGUUGUAAAGCUCUUUUCUCCGGGAAGAUAAUGACGGUACCGGAGGAAUAAGCCCCGGCUAACUUCGUG